AGCCAUUAGCCAAACAAGUAUUAAAGGUAAUGCCUGCCCAGUGAGGACAAUCCUUAAACGGCCGCGAUAAUCCGUGCGAAGGUAGCAUAAUCACUUGUCUCCUAAAUAGGGACCUGUAUGAAUGGCCACAUGAGAAAGAAACUGUCUCUUAAAGAUAACCAAUGAAACUGAUCUGUCUGUACAAAAGCAGACAUAAUGAAGCAAGACAAAAAGACCCUGUGAAACUUUUAACCUUAUGUCAACCAACACAUGACACUACCUUUAAGUUGGGGCAACUAUAGAGAAACAAAACCUCUACUACAUAAUUAGACCAACCAGUCCAAUUAGACUUCUACAUGACCCAGUAAUACUGAUCAAUGGACCAAGCUACUCCAGGGAUAACAGCGCCACAUUCUUCAAGAGUCCGCAUCAACAAGAAUAUCUACGACCUCGAUGUUGGAUCAGGGUACCCAAGUGGUGCAGCAACUACUAAUGGUUCGUUUGUUCAACGAUUAAUACCCU
RNAcentral lists this ribosomal RNA (501 nucleotides) under Laudakia stellio (hardun). Its description in RNAcentral is "partial 16S ribosomal RNA". It matches the Rfam family "Bacterial large subunit ribosomal RNA", at positions 1817 to 2597 of the family's 2925-position model. Lineage: Eukaryota; Metazoa; Chordata; Lepidosauria; Squamata; Agamidae. The record is from RNAcentral.